GUACAGUAUUUAAAUUUAAGGUUUAGUAAAUAAAUGUCGAGCUGAGAUCACUUAAUCACUGGCUUGAUUAAUUACGACCAAACUGGAUGACUUGCGGGGGGAAAAAACUUGCAUUCAGCUGGGAUUUUUUUGUCCAAACGUAUCUAAUUUUUACCUAAUUUUUUUCCAAGUCCGUUAUCUUUGAACAACAGCUCACUUUUUAGGGAACAAAGUUGUU
This is a non-coding RNA of Pelobates cultripes (western spadefoot toad), 217 nucleotides long. The record is from the annotation of a GenBank genome assembly. NCBI's taxonomy places the organism in Eukaryota, Metazoa, Chordata, Amphibia, Anura, Pelobatidae.